Long non-coding RNA from Myiozetetes cayanensis, 264 nucleotides. RefSeq lists it as uncharacterized. The transcript has 3 exons. NCBI's taxonomy places the organism in Eukaryota, Metazoa, Chordata, Aves, Passeriformes, Tyrannidae. The record is from RefSeq and is a predicted model, not a curated record.
CAGGAUGUAUAGGGGAAAUGGAUGGAGAACAUCAGGUCCCUAAGCUUUGGAAACAUCUGUCCCAGCAUCUUAAUCAGUAGAUGGACUUCCUGUUUGCUGCACCAGAUAGAAGAAAAUCACUAAAUGAGGGGGGAAUAUGUGCAGUAUCACAACACAAGGGGACCAGCUUACAGGUCCAUCAAUGCACAGCACAGCAUGGAGUGAAAUAAAGAAAGAAACAAAGUAAAAAUGGUUUUAGAAGAACUUCAACUACUAAUAAAAGAG